AUCCACCUACGGGGGGCAGCAGUGGGGGAUAUUGCACAAUGGGAGAAACCCUGAUGCAGCGACACCGCGUGGGUGAGGAAGCGCUUCGGCGUGUGAAGCCCUAUCAGUGGGGAAGAAAAAGGACGGUACCCAAAGAAGAAGCACCGGCUAAAUACGUGCCAGCAGCCGCGGUAAUACGUAUGGUGCAAGCGUUAUCCGGAAUGACUGGGUGUAAAGGGAGCGUAGACGGUUGUACAAGCCUGAUGUGAAAGCCCACGGCUCAACUGUGGGAGUGCAUUGGAAACUGUAGAACUAGAGUAUCGGAG
This 305-nucleotide ribosomal RNA is filed under the name uncultured bacterium. RNAcentral describes it as "bacterial SSU rRNA". It matches the Rfam family "Bacterial small subunit ribosomal RNA", at positions 333 to 654 of the family's 1533-position model. The record is from RNAcentral.